UUUUAAUGUUUUUAUUAACUAGACUGUAAGAUCAAUUAUGUUUAAAAUACACUAUGGUGAAGGGUAUAUAAGAUUCGGCACGGCCGAAUAUAGCACUCUUACUUGUUAUAGUUAUUAUUUUCUUGCGUGUAAAAAAUCGCGAAAACCACUACCUGUUAUUGGAAAUUUUACAAAUUGUUUGUUAUGUUGUUAUCCUUUUUUAUUUUCUUAAUAAUUGACAAAAUUAGGUAAAAAUCAAUUUCAAUCUAUGGACCUCUUUGUUCAAAGGAAAAUAAUCCUUAAUAAUUAUGUACAUUCAUUGUCAUUCAUAUUCAGUAUACAAUUGAUUAGCCAACAAAAUGCAUCCAUUUACCCGCUUCAUUCAAUCGCUUAUAUACGAAAAUAAAUUAGCAACAUUGUUAAACUAUCCACGCAAUAUUAAAAAUAAUAAAAUAACACAAUGCCAAAAGUUUUAAAAACUAAAGAAAGUAAACGUUUGUUGCAAAAGCAAACAAACUAGUGAAGAAGGAAAACGCAACAUCAUCUAUUUAUAUGGGAAAACAACUAAUAGUGAACAAGAAUUGCGCAAUAAAUUAAAAGAACUACAACAAAAAUUGGAACAAAUAACAGCGCAGAAAGAAACCAAAACACGAAUAAGUGAAGAAAACUCUGUGGGAUCUAACGAUGCUGAAAAUGAUGAACAACCUGGUGUGUCGAGGCUAAACAAAAUAACAAAUCCAAAUGAAAGUGAAGUGAUUAUUUCUCCAAUUGAAGCUAAUCCUCCAAUUGAAAUGGGUUCCACCCAGCUGUAUGGAAAAAAUUAUGAAGAAGAUAUGGUUCACUUAAAAGACAACAUUUAUUGUCGGAAAAUUGUUUAUGACAGUGCA
Molecule: long non-coding RNA, 866 nt
Organism: Lucilia cuprina (Australian sheep blowfly)
Lineage: Eukaryota; Metazoa; Arthropoda; Insecta; Diptera; Calliphoridae
Exons: 4
Source: RefSeq, a predicted model, not a curated record